ACAAAGAAGAGAAGGAACAAUGAUGGAGCCAAAAAGGGCUGCGGCCACGUGCAGCCUUUUCACUGCACAAACUGCAUUCAAUGUGUGCCCAAGGACAAGGUCAUUAAGUUCUCUAUUCAAGGCAUAGUAGAGGCCACCACUGUCAGGGACAUUUCCAAAUCAAGGAUCUUUGCUGCCCAUGUGCUUCUCAAACUGUCAGGAGCUCCAUCACUGCGUGGCUACAGCAAGGUAUUCAGGAAUGAAUCUCCUGAAGCCAGCAGGACUGAACACCUUCUCAUCCAGAUUUAGAGCUGCUACUGCUACCCCACAAUGUCCACUAAAGCCCAUGUAA
RNAcentral lists this long non-coding RNA (331 nucleotides) under Homo sapiens (human). RNAcentral's name for it is "non-protein coding lnc-IGFBP7-9:1". The record is from RNAcentral. Lineage: Eukaryota; Metazoa; Chordata; Mammalia; Primates; Hominidae.